RNAcentral lists this ribosomal RNA (253 nucleotides) under uncultured bacterium. RNAcentral's name for it is "partial 16S ribosomal RNA". It matches the Rfam family "Bacterial small subunit ribosomal RNA", at positions 524 to 776 of the family's 1533-position model. The record is from RNAcentral.
UACGUAGGGUGCGAGCGUUAAUCGGAAUUACUGGGCGUAAAGCGUGCGCAGGCGGUUCGUUGUGUCGGUGGUGAAAUCCCCGGGCUUAACCUGGGAAUGGCCAUGGAAACUGGCGAACUGGAGUGUGGCAGAGGGGGGUGGAAUUCCGCGUGUAGCAGUGAAAUGCGUAGAUAUGCGGAGGAACACCGAUGGCGAAGGCAAUCCCCUGGGCCUGCACUGACGCUCAUGCACGAAAGCGUGGGGAGCAAACAGG